AUUAAUUAUAAUUACAAAGGCUAUCUACUCUGUAUUGAGUUUGUUCAAAAUGAGUUAUACCCUUGUUGAGAGAUUUAUCAUGCUCCUAAGAUCAAGACAUUUAUUCAGAAACAUUCACUCUUCCGAAGUAUUAUUGCAUUAGAGGCAUGGGCUAUGCAAAAAUAGAAAUAUUUCGAGGAAAUAAAAAGGAGCAAGUGCUCGACAACCUCGCAGAAAAAAUGGACAAGUGUCCGGCAGUAGAAUUAGGGGUACCUCGGUAUCCACUAAAAAAAGAGAAGAGAAAAGAGAAAAAAAUGAUAGCCCAUGGUCCCUCUAAUAAGCAAUAUGCCAGCAAGAGUUGACAAAGAUUUUAAUUUCCAAAGUCUUUGAUCUAAGAGUAUGACAUUCCCCUCCUUGGAUCCCGUUUUGAUCAGGCAAUAAAUGCAAAGUAAGUAUGCUUGAGAAUUUUUGCAAAAAUAAAACAGCCUCAGUGUGAUAUAUAUAAAAGAUAAUGAGUGAUCUGAGAGAACCUAUGAGGAUCAAAGGUAUGCUAACUUUCUUUCAAAAAAAAUAUACAAAAAGCUCCAAGUGACAG
This 574-nucleotide long non-coding RNA is filed under the name Sorghum bicolor (sorghum). RNAcentral describes it as "long non-coding RNA (SBIC_LNC002653)". Lineage: Eukaryota; Viridiplantae; Streptophyta; Magnoliopsida; Poales; Poaceae. The record is from RNAcentral.